CCUAGCUGGCUAGUUAGCUAUCUGAGCUAUUCUCUUCCCUUUAAAUAAGCCCCCCCCUCCACCCCUUUUCCCUUCAUUGCCAAUGGGUGGAUCAUGGAUCUCCACACCCCUCCUUUUCUUCUUCUUUCCUUUUCUUUCAUUAGGGUUUCCGCUUUUUAUUCAAACCCAGUUAGCCGCCGCCGCAGCAGCAGCAGCAGCAUGUACAUAUGUAUAUAUAUAUACACAUGUAUGUUGGUGCUAGCUAGGGUUUCGUUGAGCUUUUUUUUCCUGUUCUUUCCUUAGCUUGCUAUAUGUAUGUAUAUAUAUAUAUGUGUGUGUAUGUAGACUAUAGUCAGCCAAAGGUCCAGCCUCGUAAGAGGUUGCUCCCUUCUGCAGCAGCAUCUCAUGGAUCUGAACAUAUAUCCAUCCACGGGGUGCCUGCAGGCUGCCUCACCAGUAGAUCUGGGAGAUAUAUGAGCAUUUCUUUUGAUUUUGAAUCAUUUUUAGCGUGUUGGUUUGACCUGAUUUUACAGGAUUUUCUGGAUUGGCUUUUAUGCUGCGGAUCUGUUACUUUUUUAGCUGAAUGAAUCAGCAUCUUAUUGUCUCUCGUUUUUUUUUUUUCUUUUCUUGUUAGAUCGAUCAUUGUUAAUCUGUUGAGGUCUGGAGGGAGGGAGGACUAGAUUCUUUGGCCUGAGAUGGUUUGUUUGUUUGUUUGUUUCUUUCUUUUAGCUGGGGUUGAAGGCGCAAGAUUAGAUCUAAAAUUACUGGUAUGUGUAUGUUUUGGGGGUGGGGGUGGGGGGUGAGAUUGAUUGAUUGGUUGGUAGGCAGGCAGGUAGAUAAAUGGAUAGGUAAAUAGGGGUAUGGGAGUGGAGCUCCUUGAAGUCCAAUAGAGGAACUUGCAGGGAAAAUGAAGCUGCUGAUAUAUGGAUCCCUCAGCCCUAUCCGCAUGCCACGCCCCGCCUCCCACCCAUGUUCAUGUUACAGUAGAUCGGGUUGGGUCGGAGUUACAGUGGCGGAUGGGUCUGUGGCUUGCAUACCUCAGGAGCUUCCAUUACCCUAAGGCUGGAUCCUUGUUUGGAUUGAAGGGAGCUCUACGCCUUUGAUUUGCCCUAUAUACAUAUAUAUAUAUAUAUUUAUACACCUGAUCUGUGUGUGUGUUUUGUUGCGUCAUAGGGGAUAUAUAUACAUAUACGCAGUAUUAUUGUUUUCUACAAGAAAAAGAGUUAUUCUUUGAAUGUGUGGUUUGUUGUUUUGUUGUCUGUAUACGUACAUGUGCCCAUAUAUAUAUAUGUAUGUAUAUGUAUUGCCCUUAGAUUCAUUCCGUUGCCCAUUUGGAUUUUCUGCGGAGGUCAUCCAUACCUAACUUUUCGGCGAAUCGGGUGCCCUCCCUCCCUCUCUCUCUCUCUCUCUCUCUCUGCAUGGAAACUGAUAAUAAAUCUCUUGAAUCUUUUGUUUAGAUCUACCUUGCCAUAUUUGGUUUUUAAACGGGUCAGUCAAAUGCGUUUGGGUCGGAUCGGAUGCGUUAGUAUUGCAGCAGUCUGGCACAAGAAAGAUGGGCGGAUAGGAUAGGAUAGGAUAGGAGAGGAUAGGAUAUUUGCCUAAUUAAGUUAUUUUUUGUUUGUUUUUCCACUUGUUGUCAUCAUCAUCAGAAGCUGAAUAGGUACUUGCGUAUUCCAACAAGAAAACAAAACCCUCCAUGGAUCGAUCCAUCCAUCUGUGGUUUCAUCCAAAGCCCUUCCUUGUAUAUAUUACUACUCUACUAAUAUGUAAUGCAAGUAUAUAUCUGUAUA
Long non-coding RNA from Andrographis paniculata, 1769 nucleotides. RefSeq lists it as uncharacterized. Lineage: Eukaryota; Viridiplantae; Streptophyta; Magnoliopsida; Lamiales; Acanthaceae. The record is from RefSeq and is a predicted model, not a curated record. The transcript has 2 exons.